GUGCUAUUCUAAUUUUGCCUUGUGCUUAUAUAAGGAGUGGUUUUUGUAAAAGGUUCUCAUAUUGAAAAUACAUAAGAUAUGAGAAAGCUUGUAUAGCAUUAGAAUGUAAGGGAUUAGUACUCAGCAUGUAGAAUGGGUGGCUGUCACAUGGCUAUUGAUGUUAAGAAGAACCUAGUUUAAUUUCACUUAUAGUCCCUUAACUUAGUUGAUUGUAUCAGUAAUGUCCCUCAACUUUAAUUUGUAUCAUAAAAUUCCUUGAACUUUAAUUUGAGUAUCAUUAAACUCUUUGUUACCUGCUAUUAUAGGUUUCCAUAUUAACUUAUGGUUAAAUUUCACUUAUGGUUAAAUUUCACUUAUUGUUCCUCAACUGUGAUAAAUAUACCACACACAUCUCUUAACUUUAAU
This 405-nucleotide unclassified non-coding RNA is filed under the name Hevea brasiliensis (rubber tree). Lineage: Eukaryota; Viridiplantae; Streptophyta; Magnoliopsida; Malpighiales; Euphorbiaceae. The record is from RNAcentral.